This 345-nucleotide long non-coding RNA is filed under the name Lathyrus oleraceus (garden pea). RNAcentral's name for it is "Pisum sativum (pea) long non-coding RNA (PSAT_LNC039944)". The record is from RNAcentral. Lineage: Eukaryota; Viridiplantae; Streptophyta; Magnoliopsida; Fabales; Fabaceae.
CCCUUUUGGUGAGUCUUUUCUUUGGUCCUUAUACUUCAUAGGGCAGUCCGUUUUAAAGUGUCCGGAUUUACCACAAUUAAAGCAUGAUCCUCUUCCUCUACUCUUCUUGUUUUCUUCUUGUUUCGAAUUUAUGGAUUGUCUUCGAAACUUCAUGAGAUUUUUGUCGGAAUGCUUGACUCCAUUCUUUCGAAUGAAUCUAUUGUAUCUCCUUACAAACAGUCCCAUUUCCUCAUCAUCCGAGUCUUUGUCACUACUUGAAUCAUUGUCGCUUUGCUCUUUUCGUGAGGACUUAGAGCUAGAAGCCACAAGAGCUAUUGGCUUCUUCUCUCCCUCUUUGUCUCUUUU